UCCAAGUCUCAUUUUUCAUUAAGGAGUCCAUUUCAUCUAUCAUAGCAGCAUGCCAGUUCUCAGACUGCUUGCAGCUCAUUGCCUCUUCAUAAGAUUUUGGUUCUUUAAACACUAAGUCAUGAUAGGACAAGACAGCAAGUGAAAGGUAAUCUCCAUACCUAACAGGCUCUCUUACUUCUCUCCUAGUCCUAUCUCUAGUUAAUUGGUAAUCUCCCAAUUCAUCAGGCUGACUUUUUAGAUUUUCUUGAACAUUUUCCUCUUCAUUUUCUUGAGGAUCAGAAGCUGUUUCAGCUUCUUCAUCUACAUGUUCAUCACUAACAGGUUCAGUAGGUAAACCAAGCUCCACCUGCAAAUUGGUAUCAUCACCUCUUUCAUCACCAGGUAGCCUUUUUGGUUCUUUAUUAUCUAAACAAGGCAUCUUUGACUCAUCAAAGGUAACAUCUCUACUGGUGAUGAUUCUAAAACCUUUUACUUCUUUACUCCAUAGCCUAUAACCUUUAACCCCAUCGGGAUAUCCCAAGAAAAUACAUUUCUGGGCUCUAGGUUCAAGUUUUCCUAUACUUUGAUGGGAAUAGGCGACACAACCAAAGAUUCUUAAAUGUGAAUAAUCAGGAACAUGUCCUGUCCAUAGCUCUUCAGGGGUUUUAUCUCCUAGAGCACUUGAGGGGGUCCUAUUAACAAUAUAUGAAGCUGUAAUUACAGCUUCACCCCAUAACACCUUAGGAACACCUGAACCUAUCAACAUGCACCUAACCUUAUCUAGCAAGGUUCUAUUCAUCCUCUCAGCCACUCCAUUCUGCUGAGGUGUAUAAGGUACAGUUUUAUGCCUUUUAAUACCAGAUCAUUUGCACAACUGAUCAAAUUCAGCAUUGCAAAACUCAAGGCCAUUAUCAGUCCUAAGGAUCUUAAUUUUCUUCCCAAUCUCAUUUUCCACCAAAAUCUUCCAAGUUCUAAAUUUAUCAAAUGUUUUAGAUUUGUGUUUCAACAAAUAAAUCCAAACCUUCCUAGAAUAGUCAUCAAUCAAGGACAAGAAAUAUCUAUUUCAUCCUUGAGUAACAGUGGAUGAAGGCCCCCAUAAAUCAGCAUGUAUAUACUCAAGGAUAGAGGUGGUUCUAUGUUUUCCUGUGUUAAAAUGCAACCUAUGUUGUUUUCCUAAGGUGCAGUUUUCACAAAAAGACACCUUAGAUAUAGAGUUCUUCCCAAACACGCCUUUCUUAUAAAGGAUGUGUAGGCCCUUUUCACCUACAUGGGCCAACCUCUUGUGCCACUUUAAGGUAGCAUCAACUUCUACACUAGAAGACUCACCUAUGUGAUCAAACACUGUACUAGCUUUGAUCACAUAAAUUCCAUUUCUUUUAACACAUUUAAAAAUAACAAGUGAUCCUUUUAUCACUUUCAAGAAGCCAUCUCCUAUUUUUCCUUGCAAUCUCAUAUUAUCUAGAUUUCCCAUGGAAAUCAGAUUCCUAUUCAAUUCAGGAACAUAUCUCACCCUUUCAAGAGUGUAAAUGUAUCCAUUAUCGAAUUUCAAAGUGACAUUCCCAACUCCCUCAACUCUGCAGGCUACAUUAUUGCCCAUAACUACUUCUCCUCCAUCAAUUUUCUUAAAAUUGUCUAAAUAUGCCCUUUUACAGGUCAUAUUGAAGGUACAACCAGAAUCCAAGAUCCAUUCUUAGUUCUGAUUCUCAUCAACAACAUUUGCAGAGCUAGGUAAAUUUUCAGUUACAGCAUAUACAUCAACUGUGGCAGAACCUUCAGAUUCUACCACAUUACCUUCAUUAACACCCUUUUGUUUCUGUUCAUUUUUCUUCUUAUAACAGUUUUUAAUAAAAUGUCCAGAUUUCCCACACUAAUAACACUUUUUAGUCCUAAUCCUUGACUUAGACCUGCCUCUACUUUUAAACUUUCUCCUACUGUUAUUUCCCUGAUUAUUAUAGCUUUCUUGAAUACCACUAGACCUACUUAAAGUCCUCCCUCUAGCAAACAAGUUCUCAUGGCCACUAUUACCUCUCUCAGACUUAAGUUCAAGUUCCUUACUCUUUAAAGAGUCUAUGACAAUAUCAGGUGUAAGAGUAUCUCUACCAUACUUAAUGGUGGCUUUAACCUCUUUGUAGGCUUCAGGUAUAUCAUUAAGUAGUACUACAGCCUUAUACUCAUCACAAACUUUCUCACUUGUAUUAAUAAUGUCUUGAACUAACUUAUUAAAAAUGUCUAAGCUGUCUUCUAAGUCUCUAGUUUGAUCUAUCCUAAAACUAAAAAAUUUCUCUAAUAGAAACAAUUUAUUAGGCAAAGACUUAGGUAGGUAAAGCUUCUUUAAUUCAUCCCAUAAGGUCUUAGCAGUAUCAUGUUUGCCUACUUUUCUUAAAAUUUGAUCAGAUAAAUGCAAAAUAAUGGAGGUAUAAGCAAGUUCAUCAGAUUCUUCCUUUUGAUCAUCUGUCAUGGUAUCAGGAAAUUCAUCUGUUAUUGCUUUAGAAACUUUUUGCUGAACUAAAACACCUCGCAUUUUUUGUUGCCAAAUGGAAAAAUCCCCUUUUCCAUCAAAAACACCAAGUUCAAAAGAUUUUGUCAUGUUUUAUUGUGAAAAACUAACACACAGUAUUUUUCACAAAUUAUAAUAGAACAGAAAAUCAACUUUUGAAAAACUGUUGAAAUUGACCUUCGCAAAAAAUUUAUGUUUUAGAUCACAUAAAGUAAUAUGUAGUCAACUAAAUGAGCCACAAUUAUUUUAUUCACAAAUAGUUUCAAUCAAUAGCAGGAUCAUUAGAUAUUCUAGUGUAAACACCACAAGAACCAGAAAAAUACAACAAUGCAGGCAAAAACUAUAUCUCAGGAUUAAAGAAUCAAUAUAUGCAGGACUUAGGGUUGAUCAAAUUCACCAGGAUUUCGUGAGAAUCAAGUUCUCAGGUCAAUGCUCAAUUUGAAUCACCCAAACUUAAUUUAUCAUAGGCAAAUAUAACAAGAUAUCACAAACUAAUGUAACAGGUUACAAUAUACAGUAAUUGAAUAUAUCAACAUAGAGGCAUAUAUACAUAAAAGCAGUGUUUAGUGAGUGUGCAAUCAUAUAGGGUUCAAGAAGUGCAAACCAAGGGUGGUUAAGCAAUUUAACCACCAGCUAAAAUCAGGAACAAGUUAUUACAGCAAGGAUGAAUUCACUGCAGGUCACCAAGGCACAAAACGUGCCCUUACAGAUUCAAGUUCUUCCAGUUUCGAGGCCUUGCAUCUCCAAACAAUUAGGGUUCCAGCACAAAACGAACCCACAGGAUCUCGGUCUUAUGGUUCUUUUACAAAUCACAUCGAGGAUUCACAGAAAAUCCCUCGCAUUCCACAGUCCAGAUUCGAAUCAACACCACAGACCACUAGGUCGACACAAAAUCAAAACUAGGGUUUCGCGAUCUACUGUCGAACACCUGGAAAUUAACUUUCCAGUGUUCAACCUCAAUCAAAGACUCAAGAACGAACGCAAAUGGCUCUGAUACCACUAUUAAAAACAGGAUCCAAAAAACAUUCAAGAUAACAUGAAACUGCAGAUUACAUCAUAAACCCUAAACCACAACAUCAAGGUUUAGAUCUUUCAAUUGUAGGCUCAGACCACGUCCCCUUUCACCAUCACAGAGGCACCGAGACUCAAACACAAGCCCUUACAACCUAACACAUCAAGGUCGCUUCACUGAAAACCAAAACAAGGACUGCCUACCUUCAAACGAUCACUCACACAAAGGAGAAUCACACAAGAACACAAUUAUCACAAAGAUAAUCAACCAGAAAUCUCACAAAGAGAAGAAGGAAGAGUCACAAAGACGAAGAACACGAAAGUUCCAGAAGGCAGAGAGAAAAACAAAGAACAGAAAUGAUGAUCCAAAUGCCAAACAGGGGCUAAGGAUGAUAUUUAUAGGUAAUAUCAUCAACCGUUGAUCAGCGGGUCAAUCCAACGGUCCAAGAGCGACUAAGAUGUGUGGGCUGGGUAUUGGGCUAGGUUAAGUGGGCCUUCUAGGUAACUAAUUAAUGGACCAAGUAUUGAAUCCGUAUUUUGGGCCUUUUCAUCAUUGCCUAAUUGUUGGACUGGAUCAAAUGGCAUCACAGCCCAACACUUAUUAUGCACAUUUUGAAAUUAUGAUUAUCAUGUUUACUUCGGUCAUUUUUGGUUAUUUUGCUUAUAUAUUUUUUAAUUGUUUAUGAUGAAAAUGCAAACUUCGCAGAUAAGAUUUUCAAUCUCUAUUAAGCAUUUAGUCUAUAUUUAUGUAAACUUACAAGUUUACACGCAUAGUGGCUCAAAUCAAGACAAACACAUGGAUCCCAAACCUUAAAAAAUGAGGGCAAGGAGUUAUGAGUCCCAAUUCUUGCUACACUGCGUGUAAGUCCUUAGCUGAUAGAAACUAUUAGUAUUUUCCAGAGUUUCUAAAGAAGUUUUGUCAUCCAAAUAUAUUCCAAGUGACAUGCCCCAACUUUAAAGUUUUCAUAUAUCAGAUAAGUCGACAAAUAUGAUGUGUGAUUGAUAGAAUAAAUUAUAUGUAUAAACAUGCAAUCCAUUUUAACUAUGCAUAUAUCAUUUAGUGUUACUUGAUGCCACCUAGAUUAAUUUUUUUACUACCAUUUGUGCAAAAUUGCAUUACUCCUUAAACAAGGUGUUAAAAAGUGUGAUUGUAUCAAUUUUUACCAUGUGGAUGAUUCUUCCUUUGUUUUAUUCUUCAAGUGAAUAUUUCCAUGUAGUUUUAUUACUAGUUCUCACUUUCAUAUCAGCCUCGAAAAUAUAUGGUACUAAGUAAAACUAAUUGACCUUAAGGAUUGUCAUAUGCUUGUUUAAGUAUUUGCCAAAAUAAGAUAAUGUAAAAAGUUGUGAUGACUCCUUUUGAAUUAUUGCUUGGUAAUUUCAUCAUCAUUCGAAAAUAUCCAGAACCAAAAUCCUGUUUUGAAUUGAAUCCAGCUCCUGCAUAGUUAAUAAUUAAUUAAAACAAAAAUAAUCUCAAAAUUAGUUCCAAAAUUCGAUCCACGAUCUAUUCACUAUACAUUCAGAUGCAUCUACCGUUCUUCCCUUGCAUGAGAGCAUAAAAUCAUAGUGCAUGUUAAUAUUGUCUGGUAUAUAAUUCAUUCCUCCUUUCCAAACAUGUUAACACAAUCUCUGUGUGUGUGUGUGUGUGUGUGUGUGUGUGUGAGAGAGAGAGAGAGAGAGAAGGGCGGGGGGGGGGGGGUGGCGCAGUUAAAUAAAUACCUGAGUGUUCGUCUAUUAACAGUUCGACUUCCUUACCCUGAUGAAGAACAAUAACAUCACCACCCCACAUAGGAGAGUAGUUUUGAUCAAAUGGGGUUUCAUCAGCAUAUCCACAAGCAACAAAGAGAAUUAGAAACAGGCUAAUCGCAUUGUAAUCCAUCGGAAUUAAAAGAAUCAAAAUAAUGCAGUUUUUGCUGACAU
This 5404-nucleotide long non-coding RNA is filed under the name Olea europaea subsp. europaea. Lineage: Eukaryota; Viridiplantae; Streptophyta; Magnoliopsida; Lamiales; Oleaceae. The record is from RNAcentral.